CUCUCUCUCUCUCUCUCUCUCUCUCUCUAUUUCUUAUCUGUUUUUUUGUUAUUUUAUUUGAUAUUUCUUUUGCUCCAUUCCAUUUCCUUUUCCUUCUUCUCCACAUGAUUCUUUUCCCUCUCACUCUCUCUUUCUCUAGGAUCCAUUUCCCUCUUACAAUAGGAGCUCUUAAAUUCUUCCAGCAACUUCUUCCCUCUCCCAGCGACUUUUCUUUCUCAUCUUCACGGCUUUGGUUAUCUACAGAACUUAUUAGUAGGGCAAACGGUGGUUGGAACCUAUGCCAUGUCAACACAACCCCUUUUUGCAAUCUUUCCUCAAACCUAUCCUCACUCACGAUACGUGUUCUUAGGGAAGAUAACAAACCAACCACAGCAGGGGAAAGAUGGGCGCAUCACUUCACAGGUCUUCAAAAAGACAGGCAAUACAGUUAAAACCUCCAUACCUUAUGGAAGGUUGAGUGAAAUCCUUUAAUGAGUACAUAGAAGAAGGAAUUAAGCAGAUAACCUUGAAGAACUAUACAAGAAAAUUUAUGUUGUUGUCUAUGCUGAUCCCACGGUGAAGAAAUCUGAUAAGGAACCACCCAAGGGCACUAUAAACGUUUAUGACAUGAUUGAAGAAUUAAUCAACAAGGGGUAUGAACGUCGAAAUAACGCAGCUGCAAUGCAAACUCUUAUUACUAAUUGGUUGGAAAAUAUCAUGCAAGAGCGCUCAAAUAAUGGUAGAGGCUUAUGUGUUAUUCCAUUGAACUUAUACGAGUUUCAAAUUGUUGGCUAUGGCAUGUUUGUUGGAGUAGUCAACUUAGAAAAUAAGACAUGCUCAUGCAAGGAAUUCGACAUUGAUGGAUUUCCUUGUGUCCAUGCAAUUGAAGCAUGUAAGCAUCGACAUAUUUCUCCAUAUAUCCUUUGCUCGGUGUAUUACUAAGUUGACUCACUCUGUGAUGCAUAUUCGGAAACCAUAUAUCCACUUGAAGAUAAAUGUCAGUGGCAUGCUCGAGAUGAUGUCAUAAACCAGCUUGUACUUCCACCUAAGAUUGGCAAACAGUCAGGAAGACCAAGAAAGAAAAGGAUUCAAU
This is an RNA transcript of Ziziphus jujuba (common jujube), 1072 nucleotides long. RefSeq lists it as uncharacterized. The record is from RefSeq and is a predicted model, not a curated record. NCBI's taxonomy places the organism in Eukaryota, Viridiplantae, Streptophyta, Magnoliopsida, Rosales, Rhamnaceae. The transcript is spliced from 4 exons.